This 75-nucleotide transfer RNA is filed under the name Bacillus velezensis. RNAcentral's name for it is "tRNA-Met". It matches the Rfam family "tRNA". Rfam says of the family: Transfer RNA (tRNA) molecules are approximately 80 nucleotides in length. Their secondary structure includes four short double-helical elements and three loops (D, anti-codon, and T loops). Lineage: Bacteria; Bacillati; Bacillota; Bacilli; Caryophanales; Bacillaceae. The record is from RNAcentral.
UGGCGGUGUAGCUCAGCUGGCUAGAGCGUACGGUUCAUACCCGUGAGGUCGGGGGUUCGAUCCCCGGCCCGUUGG